UACGUGGGGCGCGGGUGUUAUUCGGUGUGAUUGGGUGUAAAGGGUACGUAGGCGGCUAUUUAUGUUGGUGGCUGAAAACGCGGAGUGUUCCUACGCGAGUGGUCCUUUAAUAAUAUAGCUUGAGUUGGUUAGUGGUUGGGGCAAUUUUGCAUGUCAGAGAUAGAAUACUAGUAUAUGCGAAGGAACGCUAGCUAGCGGAGGCGCCUUUCUGGUUUCAACUGACGCUAAGGUACGGAAGCGAAGGUAUCAAACAGG
This 255-nucleotide ribosomal RNA is filed under the name uncultured bacterium. RNAcentral's name for it is "partial 16S ribosomal RNA". It matches the Rfam family "Bacterial small subunit ribosomal RNA", at positions 524 to 776 of the family's 1533-position model. The record is from RNAcentral.